UGUCAUUAAAAAUUAAAGAACUUUUAUAAUAGUAAAAGCCAUUAAUCAACUCAUGGAGUCUCUUUAUUUAACUGACAAUUGUUUUGUUUUGGGGGUAAUUUUGUUUUUAUUUGUUACUAGUGAAUGUUUCAAUUCUAAUUUGUUUGAUAUAAGCGCGACAGGGUGUCGUUAGACGACACCUGUGUUGAUCAAAGGUGAAAUCCAAGGAAAUGAUGUGUUUUUGCGAAAUUGAAAGAAAUUGUUAAUAGGUUGGGGUCUUUUUAUAUCCCCAAAAAGUUCCAUUUCCGAGGGAUAGAAAAAUUAGUUUUUUGUGGUCGAUUUCACGCGUUAACUACUCAAUCGAUCAACAUGAAGUUUUGUAGACAGACUGUUAGGGCUACAGAAAAGAACAUAGAGUACCUUUUAUCCAGAAAGAAUACUGUUCCCGAGGGAUAGAAAAAAAUUAUUCUUAUGUAGUCGUCGACGAUCAUCGUCACAUAUUUAGGAUAUCAACGCGAGCGAAAAGCCUCGGGAAAAAUCUAAUGGUAUUAUACAAUAUUAGUAGAUUACAAUUAAAGGACGAAAUUAGCGUCAUUUUAAAGAUAAAGUCAUAUAAAAAUUUUGAUACAAAUUACACUUCAUCAGCAUGAUGUGAUGCAUUAAAGUUUAACAUUAUUUUAAAGCAGAUAAGAAUACUAAGGAGGGGAUAUCUAAAAUUCGUUCUUCUAAAGAUUCAGACUGUAACUAGUGUUACCAAGCAUCCCGUAUUUACCGGGAAGUCCCGUAUUUCAGGCAUAACUUAAAACGUCCCGUCGAGACUGACUCUGACCCGUAUUUAAACCUUAAUUUAACUAUUACGAAAUCUAUCGCACUACGCUUGAUAUUGAUGCAAUAUUAUUAACAAGUACACUCUGGCAUGUCGAGUCGAUCUGUGACGUACUUGGCAUCCUUGAGAAUGUAAUGUUUUUAAUGGAAAAUAAUAAAAAAGAUUGAAGUAGAUUCAAUUCAAGUUAAUUAUCAUUAACAAUAAAAUAAUGACAAAUCUGGUGAAUAAUAUCAAAUUGCUCCAACAAAUUUCGAUUAAAACAAUAAAUGUACAUGGAGAAGGUAAAAAGGGUUGGAAACGUGAAUUAGCAGAGCCCCAUUCGCUUCCUUCUAUUGGGCGUGGAAAGAAGCCAUUUGUGGAAAUGAUAAGAUAUCAUUAAUUCUUUGAUCAAAUUAUAUUUAUAAAUUGAUUUGUGAUUUUCAUAAUCUUUUAUUGCAUUUGUUUUUUUUUUUAUAAUAAUUACUAUUUUAACACUUUCUAAUUUUUCACACUUCUGAACUGUAGUAGCUAUCUAUUGAGUUUCAUAGUCAAUUAUUUGCUUGGUGGAUGUCUUAAUAUAAUAAAACAUAAUAUAAAGCUAACGUUAAAUUAUUUCAACAGGAUGUCAUUUAGGUGGAUCAGUUUCUAAUAAUUUGCUAAUUAAACUGCAUUAGUAUAACUGAAGGCACCUAUAAAAUGUAUUAUGUAUCUAUCAUAGGUAUAGAAAGAAUUUUCAUCUAUAGGUCUCCCGGCUCGUUUGUCGCUUCAUCUUGUCAUUCAAUCGUAUUCAAUUGUGUUCGGUCCUCGAGAAGGAGAUGUACCACCAUUUUUGCCGUCCAUAAAUGGAAACGACGCCUGAAAGUAUUUAGCCCUAAUCCUUAUUCGAUUUUCAUUUGAUUUAUUGUGUGGAAUGCGUUUCGGUUUAGUGAUUGAUUGAUUUCAAUUAUAUUUUAAUUAUAAUUAUAUUUUGUCAUGAAAAACUUGGGUGGCGCGUUCGUUUCGUGCUCUAUUAUCGAGUGUGUCGUGGCAUCUUGCCUGUACUUAUCUAAUGUGAAUUUUAUAAAUUCUUAGUUUAUUGGAGUUUGAAUAGUUAGGGUUUUGUUAGAAUUUUUAAAUUUUGAAUACACGUUUAGGCGAUGAUUCUAGAUUUUUCAUAUCGAUGUGACCACGCCACGAAGAUUGCUUUCAUUUUAUAGCCAAAAUGUGUAAAAUAUUUCUUAACUAUUAUUAUUAUUCUGCUUUUAAAAUUCCAAAUUUCCAUUAAACAUUUUUUAACUUUUACCUUGUUAUUCUAUAGAUUAGGUUUUAACGACUUUCUUUUUCAGUAAUAUAGACUUGCUUUGAUAUUACAUCCUUGGAUUCGAUGGACAAACACUACUUACAGAUUUGUGGCAAUCAGACAGACAUCAGACAUUUUUAUUUCCAAGAAUGCCCUUAAUGAGCUGGUCAAAAAAUUCAUAGGGUACGGGGUGCUAACAAUGGUUUCCAUUAAAUCAUAAUAAAUGUACAGGGAGAGGGUAAAUCAAAUGGCCACGAAACGUGAGGAAGCAGAACCCCAAUCACGCUCCUUUUUCUUGAUCUUGGAAACGGAUGUAUUUAAACGUAUUAAAUGAACAAGGAGACAGAAAAUAAAAAGGAUUCAAAACUUGGAGAAGUGGAGCCCCUUUAAUUUUUCCUCCCCUUGGACGUGAAGGUGCAAUUUCCAGAAAAUAUAUGCUGUGCGAUGUGUCUACUAUUACUAGGCAAUUCUCUUUUGUCAGCACUUAGGAAUAAAACUCGAGCACCGUAUAGUGAUCCUCAAGGUGAGCUAUUGUUUUCCUUCCUCAGUUUUCAUAGUAAUUUGCCACCUGUAACAUCUAUGGUUUUACUUCUAACAGUUAUCUAUUGUCCACUGUAUAAAUUGACGUCGUGCAUCUACGAUUAUUUCUAUCUGUGACAUGGAUAUAGUUGACAUCUCGUCGCCAUUUUAUAAUUUAGGUGUUUUACUU
Agrilus planipennis (emerald ash borer) is the source of this 2772-nucleotide long non-coding RNA. RefSeq lists it as uncharacterized. The record is from RefSeq and is a predicted model, not a curated record. The transcript is spliced from 3 exons. NCBI's taxonomy places the organism in Eukaryota, Metazoa, Arthropoda, Insecta, Coleoptera, Buprestidae.